RNAcentral lists this ribosomal RNA (155 nucleotides) under uncultured bacterium. Its description in RNAcentral is "partial 16S ribosomal RNA". It matches the Rfam family "Bacterial small subunit ribosomal RNA", at positions 1336 to 1500 of the family's 1533-position model. The record is from RNAcentral.
UAGUAAUCGCGGAUCAGAAUGCCGCGGUGAAUGCGUUCCCGGGUCUUGUACACACCGCCCGUCACACCAUGGAAGUUGGGGGUGCCCAAAGCCGGCAGGGAAAUAUGCUGUCUAAGGCAAAACCAAUGACUGGGGUGAAGUCGUAACAAGGUAGC